This 335-nucleotide unclassified non-coding RNA is filed under the name uncultured Archaeosporaceae. RNAcentral's name for it is "sequence contains 18S rRNA gene". The record is from RNAcentral. Lineage: Eukaryota; Fungi; Glomeromycota; Glomeromycetes; Archaeosporales; Archaeosporaceae.
CCCAACUAUCCCUAUUAAUCAUUACGGUGGUCCUAGAAACCAACAAAAUAGAACCACAACGUCCUAUUCUAUUAUUCCAUGCUAAUCUAUUCAAGCAAUAGCCCGCUUUAAACACUCUAAUUUUUUCAAGGUAAUGGUCCUGGCUCCCCAACACACCCAAUUAAGGACAUACUGGUUCACCAGAAGGAAGACCCGACAACAGGACAGUACUCGCCAAAGACGGACCGCCCGGCCAAGUCUAAAAUUCAACUACGAGCUUUUUAACUGCAACAACUUUAAUAUACGCUAUUGGAGCUGGAAUUACCGCGGCUGCUGGCACCAGACUUGCCCUCCAA